GGUCGACCCGCUGAAUUUAAGCAUAUCAAUAAGCGGAGGAAAAGAAACUAACAAGGAUUCCCUUAGUAGCGGCGAGCGAACAGGGAUAAGCCCAAAACCGAAUCCUGUAGCGUAAGCUAUUAGGAAAUGUGGUUUAUGGUGUUUUACCUACAGUACGUUGGAGUUGCUUCAAGUCCACUUGAUUGUGGCUUCGAGCCCAAAGAGGGUGAAAGGCCCGUACAAGCAGCACAAUGUAUUCCGGUGAAACACCUAGAGUCGGGUUGUUUGGGAUUGCAGCCCAAAUCGGGUGGUAAACUCCAUCCAAGGCUAAAUACAACACGAGUCCGAUAGUGAACAAGUACCAUGAGGGAAAGUUGAAAAGAACUUUGAAGAGAGAGUUCAAUAGUGCGUGAAACCGCUCAAGGAGAAACGGACAGAACUGAAGGGUGAGCGUCGCAUUUGUAUUUCACUGGUUGCAUGCAUCAAGUGCUGAGACAGCUUAAACUGCUCGAUUUGGUGUUUGUUGGCCAGUGUUGUGCUAUUGCGUGCGUUCUAACACCACGAUCAGUAAAGUAGUUGGCUUGCCAUUAAGUAGAAGGUGGCUCAGUUUACUGAGUGUUAUAGCUGCUUUUUGCAACGCCAGCAAAAUACUGUUUUGCCGUUUGUCAUUGUAGUACAUAUGGCUGCUUGUGGUACAAAGAAGCCGAUUUGACUCUUUAAGAGACAUGUUGGUUCUCCGAGUGCUGUUGGUAGUCCUCUAUGUGUUGCAGUACAAUCUGUGGUGCAAAUGUAAGUAAUCUGUCCGACCCGUCUUGAAACACGGACCAAGGAGUUUAACUUGUGCGCGAGUCAUAGGGUUCUACGAAACCUAAAGGCGUAGUGAAAGUAAAGAUUUGCUUUUUGCAGAUCAAGGUAGGAUCUCGGUUCCAAUGUGUGCAAACACAUGGGCUGGGCGCACUACCGGCUCGUCCCAUGCUUUAUUUGAAGCGGGGCGAAGCAAGAGCGCACAUGUUGAGACCCGAAAGAUGGUGAACUAUGCUUGAGUAGGUUGAAGCCAGAGGAAACUCUGGUGGAGGACCGUAGCAAUUCUGACGUGCAAAUCGAUUGUCAAACUUGAGUAUAGCGGCGAAAGACUAAUCGAACCAUCUAGUAGCUGGUUCCCUCCGAAGUUUCCCUCAGGAUAGCUGGCACUCGGGAAACAAACAGUUUUAUCCGGUAAAGCGAAUGAUUAGCAGUAUUGGGGAUGACAUAUCCUCAACUGAUUCUCAAACUUUAAAUGGGUGAGAUACUGUACUCUCUUAAUUGGAGUACGGGGAUAACUGAAUGUGAGUGCCUAGUGGGCCAUUUUUGGUAAGCAGAACUGGCGCUGUGGGAUGAACCAAACGUCUGGUUAAGGAGCCAAACAUAACGCUCAUGAGAUACCACAAAAGGUGUUGGUUGAUAUUGACAGCAGGACGGUGGCCAUGGAAGUUGGAAUCCGCUAAGGAGUGUGUAACAACUCACCUGCCGAAUCAACCAGCCCUGAAAAUGGAUGGCGCUGGAGCGUUGGUCCUAUACCAGACCGUUACCGUGAAUGGCAAUGUAUACGGUAACGAGUAGGAGGGCGCCGUGGUGAGCAUUGAAGCCUAUGCCGUGAGGUUAGGUGGAGCCGCCACGGGUGCAGAUCUUGGUGGUAGUAGCAAAUAUUCAAGUGAGAACCUUGAAG
RNAcentral lists this ribosomal RNA (1684 nucleotides) under Gyratrix hermaphroditus. RNAcentral describes it as "partial large subunit ribosomal RNA". It matches the Rfam family "Eukaryotic large subunit ribosomal RNA", at positions 23 to 1489 of the family's 3401-position model. Lineage: Eukaryota; Metazoa; Platyhelminthes; Rhabdocoela; Polycystididae. The record is from RNAcentral.